RNAcentral lists this ribosomal RNA (253 nucleotides) under uncultured bacterium. RNAcentral describes it as "partial 16S ribosomal RNA". It matches the Rfam family "Bacterial small subunit ribosomal RNA", at positions 524 to 776 of the family's 1533-position model. The record is from RNAcentral.
UACGGAGGGUGCAAGCGUUGUCCGGAAUCACUGGGCGUAAAGGGCGCGUAGGCGGCUCAUGAAGGCUGUGGUGAAAGUCCGGGGCUCAACCUCGGAUCGGCCGUGGCGACUCGUGGGCUGGAGCACUGUAGAGGCGGGUGGAAUUCCGGGUGUAGCGGUGGAAUGCGUAGAGAUCCGGAAGAACACCAGUGGCGAAGGCGGCCCGCUGGGCUAACACUGACGCUCAGGCACGAAAGCGUGGGGAGCAAACAGG